RNAcentral lists this ribosomal RNA (582 nucleotides) under Xenopus laevis (African clawed frog). RNAcentral describes it as "partial 16S ribosomal RNA". It matches the Rfam family "Bacterial large subunit ribosomal RNA", at positions 1816 to 2598 of the family's 2925-position model. Lineage: Eukaryota; Metazoa; Chordata; Amphibia; Anura; Pipidae. The record is from RNAcentral.
CGCCUCUUGCUAAAAAACAUGUAUAAGAGGUCCAGCCUGCCCAGUGACUAUAUGUUCAACGGCCGCGGUAUUCUGACCGUGCAAAGGUAGCGUAAUCACUUGUCUUUUAAAUAAAGACYGGUAUGAACGGCACCACGAAGGUUCAACUGUCUCCUGCAUCCAAUCCAUUAAACUGACCUCCCCGUGCAGAGGCGGGGAUACAACCAUAAGACGAGAAGACCCUAUGGAGCUUUAAACUAAAGGCAACUGCCAACUUCAACCUAACCCAUAAGGAAAUAACAAUUAAACAAGCAGAAACUGACCUAAAGUUUUCGGUCGGGGCGACCACGGAGAAUAAAAAAUCCUCCUUGAAGAAUAGGGCCUACCACCCUUAACCAAGAACCACCAUUCUAAGUAACAAAAUUUAUGACUAUAAUUGAUCCAGUCCUACUGAUCAACGAACCAAGUUACCCUAGGGAUAACAGCGCAAUCCAUUUCAAAAGUUCCUAUCGACAAAUGGGUUUACGACCUCGAUGUUGGAUCAGGGCAUCCCAGUGGUGCAGCCGCUACUAAAGGUUCGUUUGUUCAACGAUUAAAGCCCUA